RNAcentral lists this ribosomal RNA (519 nucleotides) under uncultured Glomus. Its description in RNAcentral is "SSU rRNA". It matches the Rfam family "Eukaryotic small subunit ribosomal RNA", at positions 569 to 1090 of the family's 1831-position model. The record is from RNAcentral. Lineage: Eukaryota; Fungi; Glomeromycota; Glomeromycetes; Glomerales; Glomeraceae.
AGCAGCCGCGGUAAUUCCAGCUCCAAUAGCGUAUAUUAAAGUUGUUGCAGUUAAAAAGCUCGUAGUUGAAUUUCGGGAUCAAUACGUCGGUCGUGCUUCGGUACGUACUGGCGUAAUUGAUUUCUCCCUUCUGACGAACCAUGAUGUCAUUAACUUGGUGUCAUGGGAAAUCAGGACUGUUACUUUGAAAAAAUUGAGUGUUUAAAGCAGGCAUACGCUUGAAUACAUUAGCAUGGAAUAAUGAAAUAGGACGUUCGAUUCUAUUUUGUUGGUUUCUAGGAUCGACGUAAUGAUUAAUAGGGAUAGUUGGGGGCAUUAGUAUUCAAUUGUCAGAGGUGAAAUUCUUGGAUUUAUUGAAGACUAACUACUGCGAAAGCAUUUGCCAAGGAUGUUUCAUUAAUCAAGAACGAAAGUUAGGGAUCGAAGACGAUCAGAUACCGUCGUAGUCUUAACCAUAAACUAUGUCCGACUAGGGAAUCGGAUGAUGUUAAUUUUUUAANGUACUCAUUCGGCUACCCG